UAGGUGUGGGGGACAUUCCACGUUUUCCGCGCCGUAGCUAACGCAUUAAGUGCCCCGCCUGGGGAGUACGGCCGCAAGGCUAAAACUCAAAGGAAUUGACGGGGGCCCGCACAAGCGGCGGAGCAUGCGGAUUAAUUCGAUGCAACGCGAAGAACCUUACCAAGGCUUGACAUGAACCGGAAUGAUGCAGAGAUGUGUCAGCCACUUGUGGCCGGUUUACAGGUGGUGCAUGGUUGUCGUCAGCUCGUGUCGUGAGAUGUUGGGUUAAGUCCCGCAACGAGCGCAACCCUCGUUCCAUGUUGCCAGCGGGUUAUGCCGGGGACUCAUGGGAGACUGCCGGGGUCAACUCGGAGGAAGGUGGGGACGACGUCAAAUCAUCAUGCCCCUUAUGCCUUGGGCUUCACGCAUGCUACAAUGGCCGGUACAAAGGGUUGCGAUACUGUGAGGUGGAGCUAAUCCCAAAAAGCCGGUCUCAGUUCGGAUUGAGGUCUGCAACUCGACCUCAUGAAGUUGGAGUCGCUAGUAAUCGCAGAUCAGCAACGCUGCGGUGAAUACGUUCCCGGGCCUUGUACACACCGCCCGUCAAGUCACGAAAGUUGGUAACACCCGAAGCCGGUGGCCUAACCCCUUGUGGGAGGGAGCCGUCGAAGGUGGGGCUG
This 659-nucleotide ribosomal RNA is filed under the name uncultured bacterium. RNAcentral describes it as "bacterial SSU rRNA". It matches the Rfam family "Bacterial small subunit ribosomal RNA", at positions 817 to 1470 of the family's 1533-position model. The record is from RNAcentral.